RNAcentral lists this non-coding RNA (480 nucleotides) under Pongo abelii (Sumatran orangutan). Lineage: Eukaryota; Metazoa; Chordata; Mammalia; Primates; Hominidae. The record is from RNAcentral.
CUUUGAAGGUGGCAUGUGCGACCUCUGGUGGGUCAUCGUCACAGAGCUCUGCAAAGCAAAAGAAGCCUAUUAGGAACUCAAGAGGCCCCGGGAGUUCUGUAUGCAGCUGAAGGGUAACACCCCUUGGGAGCUUCUGCCUUGUCUGGCUGAUGCCUUGGCAAUCGCAAGUGACAGUGACGGAGAGCCACCUCCUCUGGAAUGCAUCAUGAAACAGGUCUGGGAGAACGGAGGGUGCAGAAAGGGAGAAGCCAGGCAUUUGUAGUCCUCCUGCCAUAGAUGACCAGAACGACCUCACCCAGGACAAACGACGACAGAUUUAGGAAUUCAAGCCAGCUUUUCUGACUCCCAGCCACCUGCUCUCUCCUUUCGAGUGUUUGACUCCACUCUCAGUCACUCGUCACUCUUCCCAGAAGGACAAAUGUGCAGCUUCUAUGUCUUGGAUUUCAAAUAAAAGACGAGGAACUUGGUGAAAUGAUGUGG